GCGGCCGUAGUCUAGUGUUUUUAAAACCUGAAACGGACAACGGUCAGGAUUCGGGCCUUCCAAGCCUGCGACUCGGGUUCAAAUCCCGACGGCCGCA
RNAcentral lists this transfer RNA (97 nucleotides) under Microcaldota archaeon. RNAcentral describes it as "Candidatus Micrarchaeota archaeon (hot springs metagenome) tRNA-Gly". It matches the Rfam family "tRNA". From Rfam's summary of the family: Transfer RNA (tRNA) molecules are approximately 80 nucleotides in length. Their secondary structure includes four short double-helical elements and three loops (D, anti-codon, and T loops). The record is from RNAcentral. Lineage: Archaea; Nanobdellati; Microcaldota.